Molecule: long non-coding RNA, 1845 nt
Organism: Puntigrus tetrazona (Sumatra barb)
Lineage: Eukaryota; Metazoa; Chordata; Actinopteri; Cypriniformes; Cyprinidae
Exons: 5
Source: RefSeq, a predicted model, not a curated record
UCUACAAACGAAACAGGGAACACAGGGCACUUUUAGUUUCAGUUCAAAAUCUUUGCUCGUGUCACGAUUUCACGAAAACUGUAUCAUUCUUACAUCGGUGCAAUUUGUAUAUGCAAUAAAUCCCACAAAACACCAUUCUUAAUAAGUGUCCCGCAUGCUUUUCAGGGUCAAUCAGUGAUGCAGGACUCGUGUGUUUCAGUGUAGAUGUUGUGGGGUAUUUCAAGUGAAGAAAUAUUGCCACGUGAGAAGUGAAAGAGAGGUCGGUUCGUGAUAAGAACAGGUGAAGCUAGUUACGCAUUUUACAUUCGUUUUGUUCGAACACAGCUUGAGAGACACAGACACUGAGAUACUGAGUGAAUUCGGCACUAAAAAAGAUCAAUGGCGAAAACAUCAAUUAAUAUACAGCAAGCGGACAUGAGUCAAGAGCUGCAGCGGGAGGCUCUUCAGUGCGCUCUUCUGGCUGUGAACAUGUACGAAAGCCACUCGGACAUCGCUACGUACAUCGCAAAGGAAUUCGACAGAAGGGUCCAGCCCAAAUGGCACUGCAUUGUGGGAAACUGUGGUUACUUUGUGAGACACAAGGAUAACUGUUAUAUUUGCUUUGAAGUUGGAAAUAAACGAAUAACGCUUUUCAGGACUGACUGAUCAACAGUUCAAACAUUUGGUUAAGGAAUUUCAGGUCUGCUGUUUUAGUUGCGGUGGCACUUUAUGUUUUAAUUUGCAUAUGAAUAAACAUUUUAAUUACCAUAAUUCGAGUUUUUUGGAAUGGCAUGGUUAUAAACGACUGAUAUGUUCCGGACCUUUGUGAGAUCCCGUCACUUACCAGGUUUUGAUGUAAGAGUAAAAAUAUCUGGUUUUACUUGUUCUGGAAAUCGUACAAGUAUUUUUAUUUUCAGAUCGUCGCACAGAAAAUGAGAUGCUGAUUUCGCAUGACGAGUGUAAAACGGCAAUAAAUCGUGCCACAAUGCAAUAAAAAAAAAGAUGUUCUUAAUAAAUGCCCCUCAUGCUUUUAUUUGAAUGUCUAUAUGUUUAGACACAGCCGAUGGUGCAGAAAGGCAUUAAACGUUCAGGAAUGUUGUCCAGUGAGGUUAUGUCGUAUUGAGAGGUGGAGGUAGAUUGUGAUGUAGAUGAGAACAGGUGGAGUGAGUUAGUUUUAAUCAAACACAAAGAAACUGUGAGAGAAUCAACAUAUAAUUGCUCUGUACAGAGAUCGGCACAUAAAUACGAUUCAUGGCGAAAAUGUUAAUUAAUGUACGAAAAUCAGACAUGAGUGAUGAGCUGCAGCGGGAGGUUCUUCAAUGCGCUCUUCUGGCUGUGAACAUGCACGACAAAAACACAGACAUAGCUAACUACAUCAAGAAGGAAUUCGACAGAAAGUACCAGCCCAACUGGCAAUGCAUUGUGGGAAAGAGCAGUUGCUCUGUGUCACACAAUCGUAACUCUUAUAUCUGUUUUGAUGUUGGUGAUAGACAAAUAAUACUAUUUAAGACUAACUGAGCAACAGUUUAAACACAUUUCAUUAAGGUGUUGGAGUGCAGUGUAAUAAAAUUUGGGUCUACUAUUUUAGUUGCGGUGGCAUUUUGUUUUCAUUUGUAUAUGAAUAAACAUUUUAAUGACCUUUACUUACUGUUUUUUCUUUUUAAUAAAUCCCAUGGUAACUGUACCGAAAUAUCAUAUUUGAUAAUUUCAUAAUGCUAAUUUCUAAAAUUGAUUUAUGUUUUGAUCAGCAAAUGAGCAUUUAAAAAUAAUCUAACUAAGGCAUAUUUAUAAACGACUGGUAUUUAUGUCAUUCAUGUUUGUAGCUAUAAAGGUCUUAUUGGUUUACAUUAAACGCUAUCAGAAUUA